AGAGUUUGAUCCUGGCUCAGAUUGAACGCUGGCGGCAUGCCUUACACAUGCAAGUCGAACGGUAACAGGUCUUCGGACGCUGACGAGUGGCGAACGGGUGAGUAAUACAUCGGAACGUGCCCAGUCGUGGGGGAUAACUACUCGAAAGAGUAGCUAAUACCGCAUACGAUCUGAGGAUGAAAGCGGGGGACCUUCGGGCCUCGCGCGAUUGGAGCGGCCGAUGGCAGAUUAGGUAGUUGGUGGGAUAAAAGCUUACCAAGCCGACGAUCUGUAGCUGGUCUGAGAGGACGACCGGCCACACUGGGACUGAGACACGGCCCAGACUCCUACGGGAGGCAGCAGUGGGGAAUUUUGGACAAUGGGCGAAAGCCUGAUCCAGCAAUGCCGCGUGCAGGAUGAAGGCCUUCGGGUUGUAAACUGCUUUUGUACGGAACGAAAAAGCUUCUCCUAAUACGAGAGGCCCAUGACGGUACCGUAAGAAUAAGCACCGGCUAACUACGUGCCAGCAGCCGCGGUAAU
Molecule: ribosomal RNA, 519 nt
Filed under: uncultured bacterium
Lineage: Bacteria
Description: bacterial SSU rRNA
Rfam family: Bacterial small subunit ribosomal RNA
Source: RNAcentral